GGCAAACCAUUAGGUCCCUGUGCGCUCCCUGUCACGGGGAAAGUGACAGCACCCUGUGGUUUCCUUUCCAUCGACUCACACUCAUAUGACCUUACUCAGGCAGCCGGCGGAAAAAAAAAUCUGGGUUUCUAAAACCCUCAGCUCGUUUGCUGGAUUCAUCCACACAAAACACUGAAAAAGAGGUGAGUAUCCUUCUUGCUUCUUCCUUCUUGUCAUUUGAAUGUUUUUCUGUGUGCAGGGAGAAAGGCACUUCAAGGAAACAAAUUCCAAUUUACGAAGAACCCAAGGACAGGAGCAAAUAUAAAAGCAAUAAAAGAUAUCCAGGAGAUAGGUCCUAUCUGCAGUCAUCACACUGCAAAGCAUGCAUCAUGUUUUUGUCCUUGAGACAUUUUCUUCUCUCCAGCCUCCUUCUAAUACUUCCCUAUCAUAUGAAAAAUGUGAUUAAACUGUUCCGUG
Molecule: long non-coding RNA, 456 nt
Organism: Gasterosteus aculeatus aculeatus (three-spined stickleback)
Lineage: Eukaryota; Metazoa; Chordata; Actinopteri; Perciformes; Gasterosteidae
Source: Ensembl